This 93-nucleotide transfer RNA is filed under the name Actinoplanes lobatus. Its description in RNAcentral is "tRNA-Ala". Lineage: Bacteria; Bacillati; Actinomycetota; Actinomycetes; Micromonosporales; Micromonosporaceae. The record is from RNAcentral.
GCUGGCGGGAGCUGUCGGGCGCGCGGCCGGCGAUCCGGCGGAUCGCCGGGAUCACCCUGGCCUUCACCCUCGGUCACUCCGCGGCGCUCGCGC